This 27-nucleotide non-coding RNA is filed under the name Cricetulus griseus (Chinese hamster). The record is from RNAcentral. Lineage: Eukaryota; Metazoa; Chordata; Mammalia; Rodentia; Cricetidae.
UUCCAUGUGUGACUGUACCAGUUAAGC